UUUAAGAGUUAUGGAAAUUGAAAUUGUGGGAGCAAAAUUAAGGCUUAUUUGAAAAUUGUUCAUAAGAAUCAACACAGCUAGGGGGCGACAUUAAAUGUCUAAACAUGACAAGUGAUAGCUUCACCUCUAUAUUAUUCGGAAAACUUGAACAUGAAGAACAAAGAUAAAUCAUAUAGUUUACAAAUCUCAUCUAAUUUUAACAUUCAAACAAAUAAAUUAUGGAAGUCCUAACUGCAUGACUAUCUGCCAAUAUCUCCUGCAAAUCCACUUUAAUAGUCCAGCCCCAGGAGAAAAAUGGCUACUUAAACCAGUAAUGAAAUUCUAAAACCAAAUAAGAACAAAUAAUCGGAGAAAACACAUCUCCUUCAUACAGGUUUCACAUGGAACAAAAUACAUAGUCAUUAACAUUGUGACACAACAAAACCAAAGAAAAACAACACAUACACACACACCACUGUGUAGACUAAAAAUCUGGUAGAUCUUCAUUCAAUAUCAAGAUACAUAAGGAAGGAUCAUUAAUAUUUAAUUAAGAACUAACCCAAAAUCCCUUUGGUGAUGUUUAGAUGGCAAUGUUCCGGACUAGAUCCACGUUUCAUUCCCAAAAUCCCAGUAGAGGAGAUUGAACCCAACCCAAAACAGAGAACCGGAACUGAAGCUAAUGAACGAAAACUCAGACGAACUCGAUGGAAAUUGGACCCAGCAUUAGCGACUCGAAGCACGACCAAACAUUUGCUCGUACAUGAACGGUUUGAAAGCUAUUUACAAGGUUGGCUACUGAUGUGUGCGUUUGAGCAGAAAUGGAAAAGGGGGUCAGUGUCCACUGCAUUCUGUCGGGUGGUCGUUUUUGGUGUUUGAUUUUGUAAAGAAGAAAGGGUAACGGUUAUGGGGGGCGGGGGUCUGAUUUUUGGAGUUUCCGUUGGUUGGUGAAAGGAGGCGUUGAAGGAUCAUUUGGGGUGGGUGAAAAAGAUGAAUUUCAUGCGGGGGGAGGGGG
This 991-nucleotide long non-coding RNA is filed under the name Nicotiana benthamiana. RNAcentral describes it as "long non-coding RNA (NBEN_LNC042532)". Lineage: Eukaryota; Viridiplantae; Streptophyta; Magnoliopsida; Solanales; Solanaceae. The record is from RNAcentral.